Molecule: long non-coding RNA, 1447 nt
Filed under: Homo sapiens (human)
Lineage: Eukaryota; Metazoa; Chordata; Mammalia; Primates; Hominidae
Description: HSALNT0122428
Source: RNAcentral
GAGCAGAGAGAAGAUAAAGCCAAGGAGGCAGUGGACCCUCCAGGGUGAGGAGGGAGGGAGGCAGUGUGUGUCGGGCUCCAGUGUAGACUGGGCCUUGACCAAAACAGGUAAGCAGAGGCUCAGGAGCAAAGGGUGGGAGUGGGGCGGAGGGCAAAGCGAAGAAUUGUGUUGACUUCAACUGGACUAAGAAUUAAGAGAGAUAAGGGGCCUGUGUCGGGGAGUGGAAGGCAAGUGUGGGUGGGACGUGAAGGAGUAACCAGCACUCAGUGGAGCCCUGGGGACAUUAGAUUUGGAGGCAUGCUUCUGCUGAAAUUGCUGAAAUUGCUGAAAUUGCAGGGGGCAGCGGCACACACUGGACACGAAGACACUUUUAUCAAUGGGGUUCCGGGAGCUGCUCCUCCCAGACCUCUAGGUGUCCACUGUUAGUCACCAGCACAAGGUACUGGGGACAAUCCUAUAGUUCCAUCAGAUGGCCAGGUCCACAUUGUGCAUCUUCCCUGCAUGAGGUAGGGAAGAUGAAGGUCUGAGGGACAGCAAGCCAAGGUCACAGACUUCCAGGAGCCCUCAGCAUGGCCCCACGUCUACGCCGCCAUCCACCCCUCCACAGUCCUUUCUCAUCAGUGCAUAGCUGCUCUGUGCAGCAACACGCACAGGAGCUAAAGCCUCCCAACAAACCUCAGCCCAGAAGAAAAUGGAGACCACUGCAGUUCACCAGCUCAUGUGCAUCGCUGCCAGGUGCCAAACCCAGAUGCACAUGCACAGCGGGCUCCAGCAUUGUCCCCAGCCACCCUGGCUCUCAUUCUCCAACUCCUGACGGAGUCUCACUCUGUCGCCCAGGCUGGAGUGCAGUGGGAAACUCCAUCUCAAAAAAAAAAGUUCUCUUCAUGAGCCCACAGACCAAUGUGAUCUAGCCCCUGCCUGUCUCUGGCCUGCUCUCCAACCUCCUCAGCCAGGUGCUGCCUCAGGACAUUGGCACUUGCUGUCCUUACAAACGGGCUCACUUCCCCCAGAUCCCUGCUCAGUUUAUGCCUCUCCUGCAUGAGGCCCUAGGGAAAAGUCCAUCCACCUUGGUCUUACAGUCAUCGGGUAUGAAAAACUCACCUCUAAGAGGGCAUAAACUCUAGUCCAUCUGUCCAUCCGGUUCAGAGGGAUCCCCCUGCCUAGAACACAGCUAAGGAUUUGCUGAAUGAAUGAAUGAUACUCCUGAUGGGCCCUGGCACACAGACCACCUACUGGCCCAUUCCAGGUUUUUCAUGCUCUGACCAGAACACUGCAGUAUCAACUCUACCCACGUCCCCGCCCUCCCACCCCAUCCCCACAACCUAGUUACUUCGUUUGGCUCUUGACAGGGGUGCCAGACCCAUGCCUUGGUCUCCUCUCCCCUCUUCCAUCCCUCCCACCCAUCCCCACUCAGCUAAACAUUGGUCCCCAAAUGCAACACUGAGGU